UACAGAGGGUGCGAGCGUUAAUCGGAAUUACUGGGCGUAAAGCGUGCGUAGACGGCUAUCUAAGUCGGGUGUGAAAGCCCUGGGCUCAACCUAGGAAGUGCACUCGAAACUGCUGAGCUGGAGUCCUGGAGAGGAAGGCGGAAUUCUCGGUGUAGAGGUGAAAUUCGUAGAUAUCGAGAGGAACACCGGUGGCGAAGGCGGCCUUCUGGACAGUGACUGACGCUGAGACGCGAAAGCGUGGGGAGCAAACAGG
Molecule: ribosomal RNA, 253 nt
Filed under: uncultured bacterium
Lineage: Bacteria
Description: partial 16S ribosomal RNA
Rfam family: Bacterial small subunit ribosomal RNA
Source: RNAcentral